AGUUCUACAAUACUUUUUAAACGUUGCGUAAUAAGCUGUAUGAUAGGCGGACCGAGGAAGAAAAUACACAGAUUUAGUGUUCUAGUGCCCAGCGGUUGAUGGCCCACAAUCACUGUAGCGAUUGAUCGCCAUAAGAGAGACCCGUCCAAUACUUCUGAUUUAAAUUGUUAAACUUAUGUACAAUACAGUAGGUUUGAAGUAACUUGAAUUGCUAAUGAUAUAUAUAAUUUUUGCAGUAUAGAUUGAGCAGGUUCUAAUUUUGUGAGAAUAAUGGCCUACAAAGAUACUCAUCGUAUGUUUCUACAGUCUUUCAUGUCCAGGGGAAUCUUAAAUGUAAACGAUGUCUUCAAAUUGCUAGAAAGUUGCUGUGACAAGUAUGGAGAGGUGAUUGAAGAUAAAAGGCAGCAUUUGUUGAGAUAUGUUCACAGUAUCAAUGAUGUUAUAAGAGUUUUUGGGAUGGAAAUACGAAAAGUAAUUGAUGAAGUGGAUGGUACCAGUCAUUAUGGUCUUGU
Ruditapes philippinarum (Manila clam) is the source of this 512-nucleotide long non-coding RNA. RefSeq lists it as uncharacterized. The transcript has 3 exons. The record is from RefSeq and is a predicted model, not a curated record. NCBI's taxonomy places the organism in Eukaryota, Metazoa, Mollusca, Bivalvia, Venerida, Veneridae.